Molecule: unclassified non-coding RNA, 243 nt
Filed under: Glomeraceae sp.
Lineage: Eukaryota; Fungi; Glomeromycota; Glomeromycetes; Glomerales; Glomeraceae
Description: partial contains 5.8S ribosomal RNA and internal transcribed spacer 2
Rfam family: 5.8S ribosomal RNA (bases 1-71)
Source: RNAcentral
GUGAAUCAUCGAAUUUUUGAACGCAAAUUGCGCUUCCUGGCAUCCCGGGAAGUAUGCCUGUUUGAGGGUAGGUAUUAUUAAAAAAUCGGUUUAGUUCCAAAUUUUGACGUUUCCGGGGUUUGGGCUAUCUUAACAUUUUUGGUUAAGAGGCUUAAAAUUGACCUUUUAGCCGCAUUUUUAAACGUACUUAAAUUUUUUUUAUUCGUCUUUUCUUAUUCCAAAAAUUUUAUUAGUUGCAAUCAC